This is a long non-coding RNA of Lontra canadensis (Northern American river otter), 2274 nucleotides long. RefSeq lists it as uncharacterized. The transcript is spliced from 3 exons. NCBI's taxonomy places the organism in Eukaryota, Metazoa, Chordata, Mammalia, Carnivora, Mustelidae. The record is from RefSeq and is a predicted model, not a curated record.
UGUCCAGGGGGCCUUGAGAGGGGAGGUGAGAUUCAGGUUUGUACAUUUGGGGUCUUGAACAAGUAGGGUCUGAAUUGCUGAGGUCGGCUUCUGGUUUGUAUUCUGAACUGAGGAGUUAGGGUCAAGCAUAGGUGGGCAGAGCUGAGUUUUUCAGGUAACAUCUGUGAAACCACAGGCGAGCAGAGGUAGGUUGACCUGAAGAGCCAUGGUUAGUGUCCUUCAACUCUGUCUCGCCAUUGAAUUUAGGUACAGGUAGAUAGACCAGAUCUGUCAGGUAAGGCCUAGAGAGGCCAUGUUAGGCUUAUCUAGAAAGAACUCUCUUAGACUAUCUCUGAGGUGAUGAAGGGACAUCAGGAGGAUGGGCUUGGUCUCUCAGCUGAGAUCUCAGGAGCCAGGAUUGAGUGCAGGUGACUCGAUCUGGAUCUCCCAGGUUCAGGUCAAAAUAGGCAGACAGAAUUGCACUUCCGCUGUCUUGUAGAGCUCUCUCACAAAGUUGAUGAGUUGGUGGUCAGGUACAGCUAUGUGAGAUUGAGUUUCUCAGGUGAGGUCUGUGGAGUUUGUAUCUGGCAAGGGUUUGUAUCUUGGGACUGGCCAUAGGAAUUCAGCACAAGUGAAUACAGCAGGGUUUGUCAGGUAAGGUCUGUGCCACCAAGAUCAGGGCAGGGUCAUAAUGCUAGGUCUCUCCAGUGAGAUCUAAAAAGUCCCAGCUGAGUCCAGGUAAGAACUGAAUGUCUUAGAUGUAAACAACUGAGAGGAGGUACAGGUAAGCAGAGCUAGCCCACUUUGUACAGUAUCAGGAGCCACGAGCAAGCACAUGUAGGUAGAUCUGGCCUCCCAGGUGAGGUCUGAGGACCCAGGGUCAAGCACAGGUAGGCAGAACUGGCCCAUCAGGUAUGGUCUGAGGACCCCGGUCAAGCACGGGUAGGUAGAACUGACACCAUGUGAGGUCUGAAGAACCAAGGUCAAGCACACAGGUAGGCAGAGCUGGCCUGCCAGGUGAUGUCUGAGGAACCAGGGUGAAACACAGGUAGGUAGAAUUAGCCUAUCAGGUGAAGUCUGAGGAAUUGGGAGUCAAGCCUAGGUAGGUAGAUUUGGCUUGCUAGGUGAGGUCUGAGGUACCAGGGAACUGGGCCACAAAGUAUGGUCUGAGGAGCUAGGGUCAAGCACAGGUAGGUAAAACUGGCUCACCAGAUAAGGUCUGAAGUGUCAAGGUCAAGUACAGGUAGGUAGACCUGGCCUGCCAGGUAUGGUUGGAGGAGCCAAGAUCAAGCACAGGUAGGCAGAGCUGGCCUGCCAGGAAGGUCUGAUGAGUCAAGGUAGGUAGAGCUGGCAUACCAAGUGUGGUCUGAAGAGCCAAGGUCAAGCUCAGGCAGGUAGAACUGGGCUGCCAGGUAAGGUCUGCAGAACCAAGGCCAAGCACAGGUAGGUAGAACAGGACUGCCAGGUAUGAUCUGAGGGGCCAGGGUCAAGCAUAGAUAGGUAGAACUAGUCUACCAGGUGAAGUCUGAGGAAGUGGAAUCAAGCACAGGUGGGCAGAUUUGAUUUGAUAGGUGAGGUCUGAGGAACCAGGGUCAAACACAGGUAGGUAGAACUGGCCUGCCAGGUAAUGUUUGAAGAACCAAGGUCAAGGACAGGUAGGUAGAGCUGGCCUGCCAGGUAUGAUCUGUGGGGCCAAGGUCAAGCACAGGUAGGUAGAACUGGCCUGCCAGGUAUGGUCUUAGGAGCCGGGGUCAAGUACAGGUAGGUAGAAUGGGCCUGUCAGUUAUGGUCUGAGGAGCCAGGGUCAAGCACAGAUAGGAAAAGAGCUGGCUCAUCAAGUGUGGUCUGAGGAGUCAAGGUCAAGCACAGGUAGGUAGAACUGGCUUGCCUGGUAUGAUCUGACGGGCCAAGGUCAAGCACAGGUAGGUACAACUGACCUGCCAGGUAUGAUUUGAUGGGCCAAGGUCAAGCACAGGUAGGUAGAACUGGCCUGCCAGGUAUGGUCUGAGGGGCCAAGGUCAAGCACAGGUAGGCAGAGCUGGCCCACCAAAUGUGGUUUGAGGAGCCAAGGUCAAGCACAGGUGAGGUAGAACUGGUGUGCCGGGUAUGAUCUGAGAGGUCAAGGUCAAGCAUAGGGACGUAGAACUAGCCUGUCAGGUGAAGUCUGAGGAACUUGAAUCAAGCACAGGUAGGCAGACUUGGUUUGCUAGAUGAGGUCUGAGGAACCAGGGUCAAGCACAGGUUGGUAGAACUGGCCUGCCAGGUAAGGUCUGAGGAGCCAAGGUCAAGCACAAC